UACGUAGGGGGCAAGCGUUGUUCGGAAUUACUGGGCGUAAAGCGCGCGUAGGCGGUUUGAAAAGUCAGAUGUGAAAUCCUGGAGCUCAACUCCAGAACUGCCUUUGAUACUGGCGAGCUUGAGUCCGGGAGAGGUGAGUGGAACUGCGAGUGUAGAGGUGAAAUUCGUAGAUAUUCGCAAGAACACCAGUGGCGAAGGCGGCUCACUGGCCCGAU
This 215-nucleotide ribosomal RNA is filed under the name uncultured prokaryote. Its description in RNAcentral is "partial 16S ribosomal RNA". It matches the Rfam family "Bacterial small subunit ribosomal RNA", at positions 524 to 738 of the family's 1533-position model. The record is from RNAcentral.